This 246-nucleotide ribosomal RNA is filed under the name uncultured bacterium. RNAcentral's name for it is "partial 16S ribosomal RNA". It matches the Rfam family "Bacterial small subunit ribosomal RNA", at positions 32 to 258 of the family's 1533-position model. The record is from RNAcentral.
AAUCAACGCUGGCGGCGUGCCUAACACAUGCAAGUCGAACGCGAAAGCCCCUUCGGGGGUAAGUAGAGUGGCGUCCGGGUGAGUAACACGUAGGUAAUCUACCUUCGGGUGGGGAAUAACUCGCCGAAAGGCGAGCUAAUACCGCAUAAUGCAGCGGCACCUAAUGGUGAUUAGUUGUUAAAGCGGGGGAUCGUAAGACCUCGCGCCUGAAGAGGAGCCUGCGGCAGAUUAGCUAGUUGGGAGGUA